UGAAUUCUGAUCUACUCCUGAUUAUUAUGUU
Molecule: non-coding RNA, 31 nt
Filed under: Rattus norvegicus (Norway rat)
Lineage: Eukaryota; Metazoa; Chordata; Mammalia; Rodentia; Muridae
Source: RNAcentral